UCAUGUCUCAACCAUGCUGGCCUAGAAUUC
RNAcentral lists this non-coding RNA (30 nucleotides) under Mus musculus (house mouse). Lineage: Eukaryota; Metazoa; Chordata; Mammalia; Rodentia; Muridae. The record is from RNAcentral.